Long non-coding RNA from Nerophis ophidion (straightnose pipefish), 1818 nucleotides. RefSeq lists it as uncharacterized. The record is from RefSeq and is a predicted model, not a curated record. NCBI's taxonomy places the organism in Eukaryota, Metazoa, Chordata, Actinopteri, Syngnathiformes, Syngnathidae. The transcript is spliced from 4 exons.
AUUCGGGGACACGCGACCUGGCGACCCUCCGCCAUGGCCUCCCUCCGCCCUCCCUUCUUCUGUGGACUGUCUUGUUGUGGGGAGCGGGUUCAAGUUUUUUCUUUGUAUUUUUGGACAUCUGGAAUCUGUCUUUUUUGGGGGGGGAUACUGUUGCGAUCCGCUACUUGGAUCACCACAUAUGGUUUAUACUUCCAGUUGUUGUAUCACUGUUGUUCUACACUCUUACUUCCUGUUUAGUCAGUCACCAUGGUUCACUCAUCAGUCCACCUGCUAGUCUCGCCCCGCACACCUGCUAAUAAUUAUCACCCUCCUAUUUAAGCUCACUUUUUCUGUUUACUCAUUCUGGGACUCUAAUUUGCCUUCGAGCAACAUUCACGACUGUUUACUACCCGUGCAUGUCUUUGGAGGUGGGAGGAAGCCGGAGUACCCGGAGGGAACCCACGCAGUCCAGGGAAAACAUGCAUACUCCACACAGAAAGAUCCCCAGCCCGGGAUUGAACCCAGGACUUCUCAGGACCUUCGUAUUUCCGUGAUUCCCUCUGCUGCGGUAGCGCGCAGAAGCUCCGCUGGGAACACCACACACGCCCCCGCGCUCAUCAGGCAGACCGCGCCCACUCUCUGCCGCAGCCGGCGGCAAUCCACGUCUGACACACCUGGCAUUGAUGACGGACGGCAGUAUAAAGAUGGCCGACGCUGACUCAUCGACGUCAGAACGUAAUCUACUAUACUCGCUCGUGUCACCACUGCUAUUUCCCUCCUGGACCCGUUUUGCCUUCCCGGAUCUUUGACCUAGCUUUGGACUUUCGGACCCUCUCUCCUGCCUUUGACCCCCGCUUGGACCUUGGACUUCCCCUGGCUUGUUCCCACUUAGAUUUGGACGCUGAACAUCCAACACGCAUCUCAACAAACCUCACGGUAUUCAUAUAUGGCAGGGGUCGGGAACCUUUUUGGCUGAGAGAGCCAUACAAGCCAAAUAUUUUAAAAAGUAUUUCCGUGAGAGCCAUAUACUAUUUUUUUAAGACUGAAUACAACUAAAUGUGUGCAUUUUUAAGUAAGACCAACAUUUUUAGAGUAUAAUAAGUCUAUUAUUCUUUUCAAUAACAUUGUUAUUCUGAAGCUAACCAACAAUAAAUAAAAUGAUUCGUGCCAAUAAUGCGACUUCUUGAACAGGUGCGGUAGAAACCGGAUGGAUGGAAUAAAAUGCACAAGAAUGUUUUAUAUUUUGAACAUUAUUUUUGACACUGUGAUGACCAGCGGAAUUAUUUAUUACUUACCGUGUUAAGCAAUGUCAGCUGAGAUGUAUCGGAGAGCCAGGUGCAGUCAUCAAAAGAGCCACACCUGGCUCUAGAGCCAUAGGUUCCCUACCCCUGAUAUAUGGUAAUUCCACACAUAGUCAUUCAUGCAGACACAUAGUAGCAUACACACUCCACGUAUUCAUCAAGUAUUCAAUAAAUCUAUUAUACUUUAUCAUUCCGUUGCUGUGCCGUCUCCUUCCCAAGUAAUAUACAACAUUUUUUUCAUUUACCAUAGAGAUUUAGUUCCCAAUCUCUCUUUGGAUAUCUGUCCAAAGACAUCUGGACAUCUGUGUGAAGUUUGAAUGUUCUCCCCGUGCGGCCGUGACUUUUUCCGAGUGCCCCGGCUUCCUCCUACAUUCGAAAACAAUGUUAUGUUUUUUGGAGACUUUAAAUUGUCCAUAGGUUCAGAAUGUGAGUGUGAAUGAUGGUCCAUAUGUGCCCUGCUAUUUGCUGGUGACCGGUCUAGGGUGACGUCUCUCGCCCGUAGUCAGCUGGAGUAGGCACCUGCUAAAAUGCACUUAAA